AAGCAUGUCGUACGCGUUUGCUUGGCUACAUAUUUAAACAUACACAGAGACAGGGGAGCAUUUGAUAUCUUCACUUACAACAAAAGAUCUCUCUUACACACAUAAGGGUUCAUAUGCCACAUUCACAUGGACGGUAAUUAAACUCAAGAAGACACCACAGCUUUGAUCAAAACCCAUCAACCACCAGUGCUCGAGAUAGUAUUGAGAAAUAGGACCAUUAAGAAUUCACAAUAACGCCACCUGCAAAACCAAAAAUAUAUAUCGAAGCAAGAAAUUGAUCAUCAAAAUCAAAUUUAAGAGCAAAAAUUAAUGCACAUGCACAGAUAAUUAAUUAAAAAACAAAAACUUACC
Molecule: long non-coding RNA, 351 nt
Filed under: Citrus sinensis (sweet orange)
Lineage: Eukaryota; Viridiplantae; Streptophyta; Magnoliopsida; Sapindales; Rutaceae
Description: long non-coding RNA (CSIN_LNC001359)
Source: RNAcentral